Molecule: non-coding RNA, 45 nt
Organism: Echinostoma caproni
Lineage: Eukaryota; Metazoa; Platyhelminthes; Trematoda; Plagiorchiida; Echinostomatidae
Source: Rfam
GCACUGCUGAUGAAACCCAAAUAGGUCGAAACAGUUGUCUAGUGC